This 510-nucleotide ribosomal RNA is filed under the name uncultured bacterium. RNAcentral's name for it is "bacterial SSU rRNA". It matches the Rfam family "Bacterial small subunit ribosomal RNA", at positions 791 to 1299 of the family's 1533-position model. The record is from RNAcentral.
UAGUCCACGCCGUAAACGAUGGAUACUAGCUGUCCGCUGCCUUGAGCAGUGGGCGGCCAAGCGAAAGUGAUAAGUACCCCACCUGGGGAGUACGUUCGCAAGAAUGAAACUCAAAGGAAUUGACGGGGGCCCGCACAAGCGGUGGAGCAUGUGGUUUAAUUCGAUGAUACGCGAGGAACCUUACCAGGGCUUAAAUGCAUAACGAUCGGCAUGGAAACAUGCUUUUCUUCGGACGGAAUGCAAGGUGCUGCAUGGUUGUCGUCAGCUCGUGCCGUGAGGUGUCGGGUUAAGUCCCAUAACGAGCGCAACCCCUAUUCUUAGUUGCCAGCGGAUAAUGCCGGGGACUCUAAGAAAACUGCCAGUGUAAGCUGUGAGGAAGGUGGGGAUGACGUCAAAUCAUCACGGGCCCUUACGUCCUGGGGCUACACACGUGCUACAAUGGUCGGUACAGAGGGGCAGCUACCUAGUGAUAGGGAUGCAAAUCUCUAAAGCCGGGCCCUAGUUCGAAUU